RNAcentral lists this ribosomal RNA (1153 nucleotides) under uncultured organism. Its description in RNAcentral is "bacterial SSU rRNA". It matches the Rfam family "Bacterial small subunit ribosomal RNA", at positions 97 to 1253 of the family's 1533-position model. The record is from RNAcentral.
GGCAAAUGGGUGAGUAAUACAUAUGCAACUUGCCCGUAGCUGGAGGAUAGCUUCCGGAAACGGAAAUUAAUACUCCAUAAUAUCCUAAUAUCGCAUGUUAUAAGGAUUAAAGUUUCGACGGCUACGGAUGGGCAUAUGUCCCAUUAGCUUGUUGGUGAGGUAACGGCUCACCAAGGCUACGAUGGGUAGGGGGCCUGAGAGGGUGAUCCCCCACACUGGUACUGAGACACGGACCAGACUCCUACGGGAGGCAGCAGUGAGGAAUAUUGGUCAAUGGGCGAAAGCCUGAACCAGCCAUGCCGCGUGCAGGAUGACUGUCCUAUGGAUUGUAAACUGCUUUUCUGCAGGAAGAAACGCUUCUACGUGUAGAGGUUUGACGGUACUGCAGGAAUAAGCAUAGGCUAACUCCGUGCCAGCAGCCGCGGUAAUACGGAGGAUGCAAGCGUUAUCCGGAUUCAUUGGGUUUAAAGGGUGCGUAGGCGGAUUGGUAAGUCAAAGGUGAAAGUCUGUAGCUUAACUAUAGAAGUGCCUUUGAUACUGCUAGUCUUGAGUACAGUUGAGGCGAGUGGAAUGUGUAGUGUAGCGGUGAAAUGCAUAGAUACUACACAGAACACCAAUUGUGAAGACAGCUCGCUAAGCUGCUACUGACGCUCAGGCACGAAAGCGUGGGGAGCGAACAGGAUUAGAUACCCUGGUAGUCCACGCUGUAAACUAUGAUCACUAGCUGUUGGCGAUAAAUUGUCAGUGGCUGAGCGAAAGCGUUAAGUGAUCCACCUGGGGAGUACGAUCGCAAGGUUGAAACUCAAAGGAAUUGACGGGGGCCCGCACAAGCGGUGGAACAUGUGGUUUAAUUCGAUGAUACGCGAGGAACCUUACCUGGGCUUAAAUGUAGAACGACGUCCUGAGAAAUCGGGAUUCCCUUCGGGGCGGACUACAAGGUGCUGCAUGGUUGUCGUCAGCUCGUGCCGUGAGGUAUCGGGUUAAGUCCCAUAACGAGCGCAACCCCUAUUGUUAGUUGCCAGCGGAUAAUGCCGGGGACUCUAACAAAACUGCCCGUGUAAACGGGAGGAAGGUGGGGACGACGUCAAAUCAGCACGGCACUUAUGUCCAGGGCUACACACGUGUUACAAUGGCUGGAACAAAGGGCAGCUAC